GAGCCGGACCAGGUCGAGGGCCACCUGAGUACCCGAAGGAGCGGCCUCGAGUCCCCCCUGCUCCUUCCAUCAGGUGCUGCAGUUGUUAAGGGCGCUGUCCCGCAGAACUGAGGUCCCUUGUGGCUGCUAGCAACCCCAGGGACUAUUUCACCCUCUGAUAACAGACCGUUGGGGUUUCUUGCAUUGUUAAUCAUAGAAUGGCUUGUGUUGGAAGGGACCUGAAAGAUCAUCUAAUUGCAACCUCCGUUUGCAGAGAAUCAUAGAAUGGCUUGGGCUGGAAAGGACCCCAAGGAUCACCAAGUUCCAACCUCCCGCAGAGUCACCAACCUCCAUAUCCCUCCAUAUCUUCUCCUGGACCAGGCUGCCCAGGGCCCCAUCCGAUCU
This is a long non-coding RNA of Tympanuchus pallidicinctus (lesser prairie-chicken), 384 nucleotides long. RefSeq lists it as uncharacterized. The record is from RefSeq and is a predicted model, not a curated record. Lineage: Eukaryota; Metazoa; Chordata; Aves; Galliformes; Phasianidae. The transcript is spliced from 3 exons.